AUCUGGGAUGGUUCCAGGUGGAUCUGGAAGGUUCCAGAUGGUUCCAGAUGGUUCCAGGAGGAUCUGGGACGGUUCUGGGAGGAUCUGGAAGGUUCUGGAAGGUUUCUGGAGGAUCUGGGAUGGUUCCAGAAGGUUCCAGGAGGAUCUGGGAUGGUUCUGAGGGAUCUGUGAUGGUUCCAGGAGGAUCUGGGAGGUUCCAGAAGGUUCUGGAAGGUUCCAGAAGGUUCCAGGAGGAUCUGGGAUGAUCUGGA
Molecule: long non-coding RNA, 251 nt
Filed under: Taeniopygia guttata (zebra finch)
Lineage: Eukaryota; Metazoa; Chordata; Aves; Passeriformes; Estrildidae
Description: lncRNA (ENSTGUG00000028658.1)
Source: RNAcentral